RNAcentral lists this small RNA (162 nucleotides) under uncultured Ewingella sp. RNAcentral describes it as "Glm Y RNA activator of glmS mRNA". It matches the Rfam family "Glm Y RNA activator of glmS mRNA". From Rfam's summary of the family: This family consists of a number of bacterial RNA genes of around 167 bases in length. The function of this RNA is unknown. Lineage: Bacteria; Pseudomonadati; Pseudomonadota; Gammaproteobacteria; Enterobacterales; Yersiniaceae. The record is from RNAcentral.
AGUUGCUCAUUCAAUCAAUUAUGAAAGCCUGCGCUAAUCCGCAAAUAACGCUCAUAAUACCCGAAUGACGCCAAAGAAAAGGUGCCUAUCGUUCACCCCAUCGAUAAUCGCGGCGAAAGCACGUUAUCAAGCAUCGAACGACACGUUGAGUGAGGCACCAAC